GGCGGGACACGUGGUAUCCUGUCUGAAUAUGGGGGGACCAUCCUCCAAGGCUAAAUACUCCUGACUGACCGAUAGUGAACCAGUACCGUGAGGGAAAGGCGAAAAGAACCCCGGCGAGGGGAGUGAAAAAGAACCUGAAACCGUGUACGUACAAGCAGUGGGAGCCUCUUUAUGGGGUGACUGCGUACCUUUUGUAUAAUGGGUCAGCGACUUAUAUUCUGUAGCAAGGUUAACCGAAUAGGGGAGCCGAAGGGAAACCGAGUCUUAACUGGGCGUUAAGUUGCAGGGUAUAGACCCGAAACCCGGUGAUCUAGCCAUGGGCAGGUUGAAGGUUGGGUAACACUAACUGGAGGACCGAACCGACUAAUGUUGAAAAAUUAGCGGAUGACUUGUGGCUGGGGGUGAAAGGCCAAUCAAACCGGGAGAUAGCUGGUUCUCCCCGAAAGCUAUUUAGGUAGCGCCUCGUGAAUUCAUCUCCGGGGGUAGAGCACUGUUUCGGCAAGGGGGUCAUCCCGACUUACCAACCCGAUGCAAACUGCGAAUACCGGAGAAUGUUAUCACGGGAGACACACGGCGGGUGCUAACGUCCGUCGUGAAGAGGGAAACAACCCAGACCGCCAGCUAAGGUCCCAAAGUCAUGGUUAAGUGGGAAACGAUGUGGGAAGGCCCAGACAGCCAGGAUGUUGGCUUAGAAGCAGCCAUCAUUUAAAGAAAGCGUAAUAGCUCACUGGUCGAGUCGGCCUGCGCGGAAGAUGUAACGGGGCUAAACCAUGCACCGAAGCUGCGGCAGCGACACUAAGUGUUGUUGGGUAGGGGAGCGUUCUGUAAGCCUGUGAAGGUGUGCUGUGAGGCAUGCUGGAGGUAUCAGAAGUGCGAAUGCUGACAUAAGUAACGAUAAAGCGGGUGAAAAGCCCGCUCGCCGGAAGACCAAGGGUUCCUGUCCAACGUUAAUCGGGGCAGGGUGAGUCGACCCCUAAGGCGAGGCCGAAAGGCGUAGUCGAUGGGAAACAGGUUAAUAUUCCUGUACUUGGUGUUACUGCGAAGGGGGGACGGAGAAGGCUAUGUUGGCCGGGCGACGGUUGUCCCGGUUUAAGCGUGUAGGCUGGUUUUCCAGGCAAAUCCGGAAAAUCAAGGCUGAGGCGUGAUGACGAGGCACUACGGUGCUGAAGCGACAAAUGCCCUGCUUCCAGGAAAAG
RNAcentral lists this ribosomal RNA (1196 nucleotides) under Escherichia fergusonii. RNAcentral describes it as "partial 23S ribosomal RNA". It matches the Rfam family "Bacterial large subunit ribosomal RNA", at positions 416 to 1617 of the family's 2925-position model. The record is from RNAcentral. Lineage: Bacteria; Pseudomonadati; Pseudomonadota; Gammaproteobacteria; Enterobacterales; Enterobacteriaceae.